UUUUUCUCAAUCUCAUCAGCGUUCAAAAUCAUAAAGGUAUGCUAAAAAGCGUUUUAUGGGAAGCUCGAAAUUAGCUUAGAAACACCUGACCUUUAACUAUAGUAAAGGAAAAGCUGUAGAUACGCUUGGUACCUGCACAUACGUUUAUUAAAGGUAUUUUUCUAGCGUCUUUGAAAUACUAUUAAUAAUGGACGAAUUCCUUAAUUUUCAUAGUGAAUUUACUUCCCUUUGUUUCCUUAAUUCCUUAAAUUUACUUCCCUUUGUUUUCCGAAUUUAUAAAAAAUAUUUUUUAUCCGGCAUGAUUAGCGCUGAAGAUAAUUUUAUGAGAUGUUGUUUUCUGAUAUUUUUUAUCGGGCAUGAUUAGCGCUGAAGAUAAUUUUAUGAGAUGCUUUAUUUGGGUGGACUGUUGCAAUUUUCUUUUUAUUUUGGUAGCUAUGAAGUAUUGCUUUUUAUUUUCUUUAGUAUCACUUGCUAAAUAUAUUGCUAAUUUUCUAAAUUCUAGCUUAUUUAUGAAUGCUUCUGUUGAAGCACUGGCAUUGUGAGGAAUGGUGUUUACAGGGUUUCCUGCGGAAAAUGAAGUCACUUCCUAGCAUCCCCUUAUGCGCUUAACAGUUAAAAACAUUAUAUUUUCCUUCAAAUACCCUGGGCAUAAUCCAAUGUCUUGAAGAUAUUUCAUAAUCCGGGUCUAUAGACCGUACUAUUCUCCAAGUGGAAUGGGAAUGAUGAGUAGAAGGUUA
This is a long non-coding RNA of Papaver somniferum (opium poppy), 737 nucleotides long. RefSeq lists it as uncharacterized. NCBI's taxonomy places the organism in Eukaryota, Viridiplantae, Streptophyta, Magnoliopsida, Ranunculales, Papaveraceae. The transcript has 3 exons. The record is from RefSeq and is a predicted model, not a curated record.